RNAcentral lists this ribosomal RNA (586 nucleotides) under Lampadena speculigera (mirror lanternfish). RNAcentral describes it as "partial 16S ribosomal RNA". It matches the Rfam family "Bacterial large subunit ribosomal RNA", at positions 1841 to 2623 of the family's 2925-position model. The record is from RNAcentral. Lineage: Eukaryota; Metazoa; Chordata; Actinopteri; Myctophiformes; Myctophidae.
ACCAAUAAGAGGUCCCGCCUGCCCUGUGACUAUAUGUUUAACGGCCGCGGUAUUUUGACCGUGCAAAGGUAGCGCAAUCACUUGUCUCUUAAAUGGAGACCUGUAUGAAAGGCAUCACGAGGGCUUAGCUGUCUCCCCUUUAAAGUCAAUGAAAUUGAUCUCCCCGUGCAGAAGCGGGGAUAUGCUCGUAAGACGAGAAGACCCUAUGGAGCUUAAGACACAAGGCGACCCAUGUCAAACACACCCCUUAAAGGGAAUGAACAGGAUGAACCCCGCUGGAAUGUCUUCGGUUGGGGCGACCGCGGGGAAAGACAAAACCCCCACAUGGACUAGGGGAACUACUCCCCUAAAACCUAGACCCACGGGUCAAAUCAACAGUACUUCUGACCACCAAAGAUCCGGCAAUGCCGAUCAACGGACCGAGUUACCCUAGGGAUAACAGCGCAAUCCCCUCCCAGAGCCCUUAUCGACAAGGGGGUUUACGACCUCGAUGUUGGAUCAGGACAUCCUAAUGGUGCAGCCGCUAUUAAGGGUUCGUUUGUUCAACGAUUAACAGUCCUACGUGAUCUGAGUUCAGACCGGAGUA